Molecule: transfer RNA, 73 nt
Organism: Conexibacter woesei DSM 14684
Lineage: Bacteria; Bacillati; Actinomycetota; Thermoleophilia; Solirubrobacterales; Conexibacteraceae
Rfam family: tRNA
About the family: Transfer RNA (tRNA) molecules are approximately 80 nucleotides in length. Their secondary structure includes four short double-helical elements and three loops (D, anti-codon, and T loops). Further hydrogen bonds mediate the characteristic L-shaped molecular structure. tRNAs have two regions of fundamental functional importance: the anti-codon, which is responsible for specific mRNA codon recognition, and the 3' end, to which the tRNAs corresponding amino acid is attached (by aminoacyl-tRNA synthetases). tRNAs cope with the degeneracy of the genetic code in two manners: having more than one tRNA (with a specific anti-codon) for a particular amino acid; and 'wobble' base-pairing, i.e. permitting non-standard base-pairing at the 3rd anti-codon position.
Source: Rfam
GCGCGUCUAGCUCAUCGGGUUAGAGCACCGGACUUUUAAUCCGGCGGGCUGGGUUCGAGUCCCAGGGCGCGCA